RNAcentral lists this ribosomal RNA (433 nucleotides) under uncultured bacterium. Its description in RNAcentral is "partial 16S ribosomal RNA". It matches the Rfam family "Bacterial small subunit ribosomal RNA", at positions 29 to 507 of the family's 1533-position model. The record is from RNAcentral.
AACGAACGCUGGCGGCAUGCCUAACACAUGCAAGUCGAACGAGACCUUCGGGUCUAGGGGCGCACGGGUGCGUAACGCGUGGGAACCUGCCCUUAGGUUCGGAAUAACUCCCCGAAAGGGGUGCUAAUACCGGAUAAUGUCUUCGGACCAAAGAUUUAUCGCCUUUGGAUGGGCCCGCGUUGGAUUAGCUAGUUGGUAGGGUAAAAGCCUACCAAGGCGACGAUCCAUAGCUGGUCUGAGAGGAUGAUCAGCCACACUGGGACUGAGACACGGCCCAGACUCCUACGGGAGGCAGCAGUGGGGAAUAGUGGACAAUGGGCGAAAGCCUGAUCCAGCAAUGCCGCGUGAGUGAUGAAGGCCUUAGGGUUGUAAAGCUCUUUUACCCGGGAUGAUAAUGACAGUACCGGGAGAAUAAGCUCCGGCUAACUCCGUG